AAGCCAGUCAAUUAGUCUGGUUUUCUGAAUGUGUUUCUGUCACAGAAAUGUAGGUGAAACUGGCAAUAGUGAUGCCAUGUGACAAACCUAAAGGACAGCUGAGGUUGUUAAGGUCCCCGAAAAUGGCUACAAUA
This is a small nucleolar RNA of Jaculus jaculus (lesser Egyptian jerboa), 134 nucleotides long. RefSeq annotates it as small nucleolar RNA SNORA33. Lineage: Eukaryota; Metazoa; Chordata; Mammalia; Rodentia; Dipodidae. The transcript has a single exon. The record is from RefSeq and is a predicted model, not a curated record.